CACGACGCCACCCAAGACAGACGGUUGAUUUCCGCUCGUCAACUCGACUAACUAUUUAUCUGGUGGUUUAAAUCGCUGUUGUUCUUGGGUUCAAAUCAAAUCUAAAUCAACAUCAUCUAGGCCUACAUAAAGCCACGUCCGAACUCAAAACAAGAUCGACAAGAAGCAAGAAGUAUACAAGUAUAUAAAUUACAUACUUAAAGAAUGAAAAGGUGAAAUACCGAUCCAUGCAUUCCACCCCUAUUAAAACAAUGGGCCUACUCUGUGGGAGAGCUAGCGGUCAGCGCUGGACCUUCUACAGUAUUCCUGGAAUUAAUUCCAAUUGAUGGUGUACACCAGCGGGAGGAUGAUGAAUGUGUGAUUUGUUUAGAAAAAGAAAAUUACGCCCGCAGGUGCAAAACAUGCAAAAAAUGCAUCUUGCUGUUAAAGAUGUUUUCAUAAACAUCUUUUUAAAAAAACCGGUGCCAAUGACAUUGACAAAUGAGGUGCCCCUUGGGUGCAGGAGGAAAUCAAGAGAGUUGGUGUCUGCAAGACACUUUUACGCAACUUUAUGAUGUACAAAGAGCCUGCAUUUUAUGGAUCCGUGUACAAGACCUGGAGAAAAUGUCUGACACUCUAAAAUUUUAUUUCAAAAUAAUUCCAGGUACCACAGGGAUACCCGAUUUGUCAAUCAGGUAAUAACUGGUUUUGAAAUUCACCCAAGUUUCAAAUCAUGCAGUUUACAUAAUUGUUUAAAGAACAAAUGAACACUGUCAAUUUUUUGGUGCAAAUUUUAAUGAAUGCUUUUUUUUCAAUUUCCGUGAAUACAAAGACUUUCUGUAGCUAUGUAAUUGUAAAAAUUAAGUUUCUACGUAUUUUUUCAAACCAUUUUACAUAUUUUAUUGUUGUAUUAUUUCGUGUACUAUUUUAUAUCACUGGCUGGCACGCGAUGGGAAAAAUCUUUAAAAUACUUAAAACAAAUUCCAGAUAGAAUAUCUCGAAAAUUUGAUCAUUGACCUUAUACAUGUAUAAUGUUAAUGUCAAUAAAAUACAGACAAUAAAAGUAGUUUUAGGCAAUAGAUGGUUUGAAGCUCCUAUUAGUCAGUUUUUUUGUAAAACUCGAUCAAAAUGAGUAGAAUUUUGAAAAUUGAUAGAGGAAAUUCGGACUAAAUUAAAUUUAAAAUAUGAGCUAUAAAUGAUUCUUUGACAUAUGUAAUUAGUAAAGCUAUUUGUAUUUUAUCGUUUUCCAAACCAACAAAUUGUUUUAUUAUUUGUAAUAAUUGCAAAAUAAAUAAAACGUCGGAAAGGGUGGACAAAUUUGACAAUUUUUUCAAUAAACAUUCAGAAGUCACUAGCAUAAAAAGUAGGCCAUUGACCUAAUUAUUUGAAAGUGAAAAACAGCACCACAGUACUAGGUCUACAAUGUAGAAUAAGUAGUUUUCUGUUCCUAUUUGUAGAAUUUUUUCGCCCCUGAGUAAACGUAAUCUUUAAAACAUUUGUGGUGUGUUUUUGUUAGUAAUAAUGUAGUAGUGUGACUUAGUUUGACUUAUAGUUUUAUAUAUUACUUUUUUUAAGUUAUUUUGAUUCACAUCUGAUUCAUUCAUUUAUUCAAUUUUUCACUCUACUGUGUUGUGUGGUUAAACUCAAACGCCCCUAUUUCAAAUAAUGGUUCAGUCAAUAUAUACAAAAAGUAAAGAAAUUGGAACAUUCCAUAUGAAUAAAGAUGUUUUAUUAUUCUUUGCUUUGGUCAGUAAUGGUCACUUCUGACAGUGGCGGGAGUAUAAUUUCUUUGUGAUCUGGUAAUCUUGUAAUUAAUUCUGCGAGACUUGGGGAAGAGGGAAGACGGGUAUGACAUGAAUAUAUUGUCAACUUUUUGACUGCCGAUAAAUUCCACACUAAGACUGUAAGUAAUUUUCUUUUAUACUAUAAUAAGUAAAUGCUAGGUUAAGGCUAUAAAUAAAUAAUGAAUAAAUCUGUUUUAUUAGUAUGAGUGUGGAGAAUGAAUUUUUAAAAUAAAGUAUACAAUGGAAAGCAUUGUAGAGCCCCUGUGGGUAUAGAUAUACAUGUAUAUAUAUACAUCCCAGAACGUGCAUGGGGAUAUUAAUAAACGGAAUAGUUUUAAUUCAAAGCGGCUUUAUGAAGAUAAUUAUUUGCAUGGUCUCUUCAAUUACAUGUAAUGCAUUUCCCUGAACAAUAUUUCAUUUGGCUAGGGGAUGCUCCGCUUUGUUGUGCCCAUGUUAUCAUAAACGGUUAACUCAAGUAAACGACCAAAAGACAUGCUCGUUGUUACGACAUUUUUUCCCCAAUAUCAAAAGAAUUGACGUUAAUUACAAUGGUCAGCUCAAGUAGAAGAGAUGAACAUGCAGGAUUGAGACAUGUAUAGGAAAAGCUUAAUAUGUCCAUCUAAUUUCUGUGGCAGGCUCGUUUACUAAAUUUUCUGAAAGCUGGUCUGUUUAAGCUUUAUAACCUUAAGCUUUAAGAGUUGAUAACACAGGGAUGCCUUCGACAGUUCAUACAACAUUUUUAGCGUUUCUUUAUCUGAGCGGAUGUUGUCACUCUGGGGGACAUGUUUACUAAGGGAUAUUUAUCUUCUUAGGAUUAUUUAUAAGAAUGUAUUACUGUGUACACACACUACAAAGUACUAUAUCAACAAGUAAAUAAAACAAAAGUAAAGCUUCUCAUUACAAGAUAAUAAAACGCUAUCAAAAAUAGUAAAAUGAAUAAAUGUCACAUUGCUUUAUUUCCGUCUAAGUAAUCUAUAAUUAUGUGCUUUGCAGAUGACAAUGGACGUGCUACUGAUGUUGAAUUUUUUGCAGGAGAGUGGAAAUGGUCAUCGAAAACUACAAAAUCUGAAUUAAGUUGGACUUAAGUUUCUGUUUUUUCCAUUUCUCCAGAAGAUUCUUAACGCAUGAUAAAGACAUUCAAAAUUCUCGUUACGUGGUGGACCCAAAAUUCUGUCAUUUUGUUCGUCCAAUACCUAGUGUAACCAUCCUUUGUCCAAAUAUGUGUGUCGACGAAUCAUUUUGGACCUUGUAGAGUUUUUUAUUUCCUAUUUUGGAAGACGACGGUGCCAGUACGAUACCAAAAUCUUUCAGUUUCCUGAAAUUGAGGAUUUCGGCGUCAUUCACCGUCAACAUCAUAGGAGAUAAGCAACAUCGGUACGAAACGUAAAAAAACCCCCAUAAUUCCUAUCCAGAGUUUAUGAAUAAUGUAAUCAUCAAAUUUGCCCUCGUGUUAGAGACAACGGAGGAUGAAGAUCAUGGGGUGAAAUUCGUCGGAAUUUUUAGAGCUUUAUUACGUCUUUUGC
Molecule: long non-coding RNA, 3286 nt
Organism: Magallana angulata
Lineage: Eukaryota; Metazoa; Mollusca; Bivalvia; Ostreida; Ostreidae
Exons: 3
Source: RefSeq, a predicted model, not a curated record